RNAcentral lists this ribosomal RNA (253 nucleotides) under uncultured bacterium. RNAcentral describes it as "partial 16S ribosomal RNA". It matches the Rfam family "Bacterial small subunit ribosomal RNA", at positions 524 to 776 of the family's 1533-position model. The record is from RNAcentral.
UACGUAGGGUGCAAGCGUUAAUCGGAAUUACUGGGCGUAAAGCGUGCGCAGGCGGUGAUGUAAGACAGUUGUGAAAUCCCCGGGCUCAACCUGGGAACUGCAUCUGUGACUGCAUCGCUGGAGUGCGGCAGAGGGGGAUGGAAUUCCGCGUGUAGCAGUGAAAUGCGUAGAUAUGCGGAGGAACACCGAUGGCGAAGGCAAUCCCCUGGGCCUGCACUGACGCUCACGCACGAAAGCGUGGGGAGCAAACAGG